Molecule: ribosomal RNA, 468 nt
Filed under: uncultured bacterium
Lineage: Bacteria
Description: partial 16S ribosomal RNA
Rfam family: Bacterial small subunit ribosomal RNA
Source: RNAcentral
GACGAACGCUGGCGGCGUGCUUAACACAUGCAAGUCGAACGGAAAGGCCCUGCUUUUGUGGGGUGCUCGAGUGGCGAACGGGUGAGUAACACGUGAGUAACCUGCCCUUGACUUUGUGAUAACUUCAGGAAACUGGGGCUAAUACCGGAUAGGAGCUCCUGCUGCAUGGUGGGGGUUGGAAAGUUUCGGCGGUUGGGGAUGGACUCGCGGCUUAUCAGCUUGUUGGUGGGGUAGUGGCUUACCAAGGCUUUGACGGGUAGCCGGCCUGAGAGGGUGACCGGCCACAUUGGGACUGAGAUACGGACCAGACUCCUACGGGAGGCAGCAGUGGGGAGUAUUGCACAAUGGGCGGAAGCCUGAUGCAGCAACGCCGCGUGCGGGAUGACAGCCUUCGGGUUGUAAACCGCUUUCGCCUGUGACGAAGCGUGAGUGACGGUAAUGGGUAAAGAAGCACCGGCUAACUACGUG